UAAGAGAUGAGGUGUAAAGGUGUCUCGUGUUGAACAGGUGCACAGUCUAAUUAUUCAGGAGUGAGUGCUCAGAGAAGGUGAAAAGCCUGUUUGAUUGUGUCUGCCUGUUGAAUCGGGUCACUGACGAGUCUAGUUGUUUGAGAGUACAACUUAAAGUUGGUGGUAAAUUUCAUCAAAGGCUAAAUAUAUGAGGGGACUAAUAGCGAACAAGUACCAUGAGGGAAAGUUGAAAAGAACUCUGAAGAGAGAGUUCAACAGUGCGUGAAACCAUAUAGAGUAAAACAGAUAACUGUGUUGUUAUGUGGUAUUUCCAUCAGCAGCAAGAUUGGUGAUGCAUUAGCGUGAGUGUGAGCUGUUUAUUCAGACGAUCGUUCACGUUUAGCAGAGCUGAUAUUACUGUGUAUUGGUUGUACUCAUGCAUUGAGAAACUAUACUGUUGCGACAUCGGCGGCUGCCUGACCGUACCUAGUGCGAGGGUAGUUGCUGGGCUCUGCUAAUGGUGUAGUUUAGCUGUGUGACAGCUGUGAGAUGCGUUCGCUGAACAAACCUGCUCUGUCGGUAAAUCGGUUUAUUCCUUUUUGCUGUAAGUAUGGAUUGGUAGGUGAGUGUCUCGCCAUCAAUGUUUAACAUUAGUUAUUUGACCCGUCUUGAAACACGGACCAAGGAGUUCAAAUGGCACGCGAGUCAUUGGGUUUAAUCACCCGAAGGCGAAGUGAAAUGCGAUUCUUUAUCGUUACUCGUAGUUGUUCUGCGAUCAAGCGAUAAGCUACUCAUGCUU
RNAcentral lists this ribosomal RNA (778 nucleotides) under Spadiseius sp. NFS-2015. RNAcentral describes it as "eukaryotic LSU rRNA". It matches the Rfam family "Eukaryotic large subunit ribosomal RNA", at positions 137 to 778 of the family's 3401-position model. Lineage: Eukaryota; Metazoa; Arthropoda; Arachnida; Mesostigmata; Melicharidae. The record is from RNAcentral.